CCGUACACAAAAAUGCACAUGCUGUGAGCUCGAUGAGUAGGGCGGGACACGUGGUAUCCUGUCUGAAUAUGGGGGGACCAUCCUCCAAGGCUAAAUACUCCUGACUGACCGAUAGUGAACCAGUACCGUGAGGGAAAGGCGAAAAGAACCCCGGCGAGGGGAGUGAAAAAGAACCUGAAACCGUGUACGUACAAGCAGUGGGAGCACAGAGCAAUCUGUGUGACUGCGUACCUUUUG
Molecule: ribosomal RNA, 237 nt
Filed under: Escherichia coli
Lineage: Bacteria; Pseudomonadati; Pseudomonadota; Gammaproteobacteria; Enterobacterales; Enterobacteriaceae
Description: partial 23S ribosomal RNA
Rfam family: Bacterial large subunit ribosomal RNA
Source: RNAcentral